This 274-nucleotide ribosomal RNA is filed under the name uncultured bacterium. RNAcentral's name for it is "partial 16S ribosomal RNA". It matches the Rfam family "Bacterial small subunit ribosomal RNA", at positions 523 to 796 of the family's 1533-position model. The record is from RNAcentral.
AUACGGAGGGUGCAAGCGUUAUUCGGAAUCACUGGGCGUAAAGCGCACGUAGGCGGCGGGGUAUGUCGGGUGUGAAAGCCCUCGGCUUAACCGAGGAAGUGCAUCCGAAACUGCCUGGCUUGAGUAUGGGAGAGGGUAGCGGAAUUCCCGGUGUAGAGGUGAAAUUCGUAGAUAUCGGGAGGAACACCAGUGGCGAAGGCGGCUACCUGGACCAAUACUGACGCUGAGGUGCGAAAGCGUGGGGAGCAAACAGGAUUAGAAACCCCGGUAGUCC